AAUAGAUACCCGGGUAGUCCAUGCCGUAAACGUUGGGAACUAGAUGUAGGGCCUGUUCCACGGGUUCUGUGUCGUAGCUAACGCAUUAAGUUCCCCGCCUGGGGAGUACGGCCGCAAGGCUAAAACUCAAAGGAAUUGACGGGGGCUCGCACAAGCGGCGGAGCAUGCGGAUUAAUUCGAUGCAACGCGAAGAACCUUACCAAGGCUUGACAUAUAGAAGAACACUGCAGAGAUGCAGGACUCUUUGGACACUUCUAUACGGGUGGUGCAUGGUUGUCGUCAGCUCGUGUCGUGAGAUGUUCGGUUAAGUCCGGCAACGAGCGCAACCCUCGUCCUAUGUUGCCAGCACGUGAUGGUGGGAACUCAUGGGAUACUGCCGUGGUCAACACGGAGGAAGGUGGGGAUGACGUCAAAUCAUCAUGCCCCUUAUGUCUUGGGCUUCACGCAUGCUACAAUGGCCGGUACAAAGGGCUGCGAUACCGUAAGGUGGAGCGAAUCCCGAAAAAGCCGGUCUCAGUUCGGAUUGGGGU
Molecule: ribosomal RNA, 530 nt
Filed under: uncultured bacterium
Lineage: Bacteria
Description: bacterial SSU rRNA
Rfam family: Bacterial small subunit ribosomal RNA
Source: RNAcentral